CAGUGGGGAAUUUUGGACAAUGGGCGCAAGCCUGAUCCAGCAAUGCCGCGUGCAGGANGAAGGCCUUCGNGUUGUAAACUGCUUUUGUACGGAGCGAAAAGGCUUNCUCUAAUACUGGGGGCUCAUGACGGUACCGUAAGAAUAAGCACCGGCUAACUACGUGCCAGCAGCCGCGGUAAUACGUAGGGUGCGAGCGUUAAUCGGAAUUACUGGGCGUAAAGCGUGCGCAGGCGGUCUUGUAAGACAGGUGUGAAAUCCCCGGGCUUAACCUGGGAACUGCACUUGUGACUGCAAGGCUGGAGUACGGCAGAGGGGGAUGGAAUUCCGCGUGUAGCAGUGAAAUGCGUAGAUAUGCGGAGGAACACCGAUGGCGAAGGCAAUCCCCUGGGCCUGUACUGACGCUCAUGCACGAAAUGCGUGGGGAGCAAACAGGAUUAGAUACCCCUGGUAGUCCACGCCCUAAAGCGAUGUCAACUGGUUGUUGG
This 485-nucleotide ribosomal RNA is filed under the name uncultured bacterium. Its description in RNAcentral is "bacterial SSU rRNA". It matches the Rfam family "Bacterial small subunit ribosomal RNA", at positions 352 to 826 of the family's 1533-position model. The record is from RNAcentral.